Molecule: ribosomal RNA, 433 nt
Filed under: uncultured bacterium
Lineage: Bacteria
Description: partial 16S ribosomal RNA
Rfam family: Bacterial small subunit ribosomal RNA
Source: RNAcentral
AACGAACGCUGGCGGCAGGCCUAACACAUGCCAGUCGAGCGGACCCUUCGGGGUUAGCGGCGGACGGGUGAGUAACGCGUGGGAAUAUGCCCUUCUCUACGGAAUAGUCCUGGGAAACUGGGGGUAAUACCGUAUACGCCCUUUGGGGGAAAGAUUUAUCGGGGAAGGAUUAGCCCGCGUUGGAUUAGGUAGUUGGUGGGGUAAUGGCCUACCAAGCCGACGAUCCAUAGCUGGUUUGAGAGGAUGAUCAGCCACACUGGGACUGAGACACGGCCCAGACUCCUACGGGAGGCAGGAGUGGGGAAUCUUAGACAAUGGGGGCAACCCUGAUCGAGCCAUGCCGGGUGAGUGAUGAAGGCCUUAGGGUUGUAAAGCUCUUUCAGCUGGGAAGAUAAUGACGGUACCAGCAGAAGAAGCCCCGGCUAACUCCGUG